This 454-nucleotide ribosomal RNA is filed under the name uncultured Burkholderiales bacterium. Its description in RNAcentral is "bacterial SSU rRNA". It matches the Rfam family "Bacterial small subunit ribosomal RNA", at positions 30 to 475 of the family's 1533-position model. Lineage: Bacteria; Pseudomonadati; Pseudomonadota; Betaproteobacteria; Burkholderiales. The record is from RNAcentral.
AUUGAACGCUGGCGGCAUGCCUUACACAUGCAAGUCGAACGGCAGCACGGGCGCUUGCACCUGGUGGCGAGUGGCGAACGGGUGAGUAAUAUAUCGGAACGUACCUUAUUGUGGGGGAUAACGCAGCGAAAGCUGUGCUAAUACCGCAUAAUCCCUAAGGGGGAAAGCGGGGGACCGUAAGGCCUCGCGCAAUUAGAGCGGCCGAUACCUGAUUAGCUAGUUGGUGAGGUAAAGGCUCACCAAGGCAACGAUCAGUAGCUGGUCUGAGAGGACGAUCAGCCACACUGGGACUGAGACACGGCCCAGACUCCUACGGGAGGCAGCAGUGGGGAAUUUUGGACAAUGGGGGCAACCCUGAUCCAGCAAUGCCGCGUGAGUGAAGAAGGCCUUCGGGUUGUAGAGCUCUUUCGCAAGGGAAGAAAACUUACUUUCUAAUAAAGAGUGAGGUUGACGG